Molecule: ribosomal RNA, 348 nt
Filed under: uncultured archaeon
Lineage: Archaea
Description: bacterial SSU rRNA
Rfam family: Archaeal small subunit ribosomal RNA
Source: RNAcentral
AACCUCUGCAAUAGGCGAAAGCUUGACAGGGUUACUCUGAGUGAUUUCCGUUAAGGAGAUCUUUUGGCACCUUGGUGCAGAAUAAGGGGUGGCAAGCUGGUGUCAGCCGCCGCGGUAAUACCAGCACCCCGAGUGGUCGGGACGAUUAUUGGGCCUAAAGCAUCCGUAGCCGGUUCUACAAGUCUUCCGUUAAAUCCACCUGCUCAACAGUUGGGCUGCGGAGGAUACUAUAGAGCUAGGAGGCGGGGGAGGCAAGCGGUACUUAGUGGGUAGGGGUAAAAUCCGUUGAUCCAUUGAAGACCACAGUGGCGAGGCGGCUUGCCAGAACGCCUCGACGGUGAGGGGGAU